RNAcentral lists this RNase P RNA (377 nucleotides) under Alphaproteobacteria bacterium. RNAcentral describes it as "RNase P RNA component class A". It matches the Rfam family "Bacterial RNase P class A". From Rfam's summary of the family: Ribonuclease P (RNase P) is a ubiquitous endoribonuclease, found in archaea, bacteria and eukarya as well as chloroplasts and mitochondria. Its best characterised activity is the generation of mature 5'-ends of tRNAs by cleaving the 5'-leader elements of precursor-tRNAs. The record is from RNAcentral. Lineage: Bacteria; Pseudomonadati; Pseudomonadota; Alphaproteobacteria.
UCAGGCGGCUGGACGGUCGCGGUGCCAGGUCCGGAAACGGCGGUAUCGAGGAAAGUCCGGGCUCCACGGAGACAAGGUGCCGGAUAGCGUCCGGCGGGGGAAACCCCAGGGAAAGCGCAGCAGAGAGCAGACCACCGGUCCUGCGGGAUCGGAAAGGGUGAAAGGGUGCGGUAAGAGCGCACCGCCCCGACCGCAAGGAAGGGGGCAUGGCAAGCCCCACCUGGAGCAAGACCGAAUAGGGAUGAGCGCGGUAUACCGCACGUGCGUCUCCGCAUGUCAUCCGGGUAGGUCGCACCAGCGGCGUUGCAAGGCGUCGCGCAGAUGAAUGAUCGUCACCCUUCGGGGUACAGAACCCGGCUUACAGGCCGCCUGAUCAA